UACGUAGGUGGCAAGCGUUAUCUGGAAUUACUGGGUGUAAAGGGUGGGUAGGCGGCAUGGUAAGCCAGAUGUGAAAGCCUUGGGCUUAACCCGAGGAUUGCAUUUGGAACUAUCAAGCUAGAGUACAGGAGAGGAAAGCGGAAUUCCUAGUGUAGCGGUGAAAUGCGUAGAUAUUAGGAAGAACACCAGUGGCGAAGGCGGCUUUCUGGACUGAAACUGACGCUGAGGCACGAAAGCGUGGGGAGCGAACAGG
RNAcentral lists this ribosomal RNA (253 nucleotides) under uncultured bacterium. Its description in RNAcentral is "partial 16S ribosomal RNA". It matches the Rfam family "Bacterial small subunit ribosomal RNA", at positions 524 to 776 of the family's 1533-position model. The record is from RNAcentral.